GAAAGAUAACAAUGCAAUGAGAACCAGACAACAUCUAGCAGAAAAGAUUAGCUUGAUUCUAAAUGGAUGACAUUACAAAAGAACUUUGAAUUAAAAUGAGCAAUAAUAAGCCAGAACUUCUCUAUUCAACAUUUUAUUGUUGAUGAGAAAAGGAUACUUCAAGAAAAAAGUUAGAACAAGCCAGUAAUGUGAACGUAUUAUCGCGUCACAGCAGCUAUUGUGCAACAUAAACAGUAACAACUUGCUCUAAUUUGAGAAAUUUGAUAUCUGCACCAGCAAGAGUAGUGAAGUGAUUACAUGGUAUAGAUACAUCUAUCAGUUUUGCUCUUCAGCAGCGUAGAGAUUCUUGAUCUCCUCAACGUCAUCAUAACUACCAAGAAAUAUAGGAGAGCGUUCGUGUAUCUUCUCUGGAACUAAGUCAAGUGCCCGUUGCUUCCCAGUAAAUGCUUGACCUCCUGCUUGUUCCAUCAGAAAUGACAUGGGAAAUACUUCAUAGAGAACCCUCAGCUUCCCGUUGGGGCUUUUCUUAUCUCCGGGGUACAAGAAGAUGCCUCCAUAGAGUAAUGUACGAUGAACAUCAGCAACCAUACUUCCAAUAUAUCUCAAAGAUUUAGGUGAAGAACCAUCAGCGGGAUACUUGCAGUUCUGCACAUAUUUGGAUGUUGGACCAUCCCAGUUCUUGGCAUUUCCUUCAUUCACUGAAUAAAUCUUCCCUUUCUUAGGAAUCUUGAUGUCAGCAUGAGUUAGGAUGAACUCGCCAAGAGAGGGAUCAAGGGUAAAACCAUUAACUCCAGAUCCAGUGCUCAAAACUAGCGUACAAGAACUUCCAUACAUGCAGUAUCCAGCAGCUAA
This 852-nucleotide unclassified non-coding RNA is filed under the name Hevea brasiliensis (rubber tree). Lineage: Eukaryota; Viridiplantae; Streptophyta; Magnoliopsida; Malpighiales; Euphorbiaceae. The record is from RNAcentral.